This 608-nucleotide ribosomal RNA is filed under the name Candidatus Litorirhabdus singularis. Its description in RNAcentral is "bacterial SSU rRNA". It matches the Rfam family "Bacterial small subunit ribosomal RNA", at positions 29 to 684 of the family's 1533-position model. The record is from RNAcentral. Lineage: Bacteria; Pseudomonadati; Pseudomonadota; Gammaproteobacteria; Cellvibrionales; Halieaceae.
ACGAACGCUGGCGGCAUGCCUAACACAUGCAAGUCGAACGCUAUCUUUGAUAGAGUGGCGCACGGGUGAGUAACGCGUGGGAACCUGCCUUUCACUGCGGGACAACGGUUGGAAACGACCGCUAAUACCGCAUACGCCCUACGGGGGAAAGAUUUAUCGGUGAAAGAGGGGCCCGCGUCUGAUUAGCUUGUUGGUAGGGUAAUGGCCUACCAAGGCGACGAUCGGUAGCUGGUCUGAGAGGAUGAUCAGCCACACUGGGAGUGAGACACGGCCCAGACUCCUACGGGAGGCAGCAGUGGGGAAUAUUGGACAAUGGGGGCAACCCUGAUCCAGCAAUGCCGCGUGUGUGAUGAAGGCCUUAGGGUUGUAAAGCACUUUCACUGGUGAAGAUGAUGACGGUAACCAGAGAAGAAGCCCCGGCUAACUUCGUGCCAGCAGCCGCGGUAAUACGAAGGGGGCGAGCGUUGUUCGGAAUUACUGGGCGUAAAGGGCGCGUAGGCGGUCUUUUAAGUUAGGCGUGAAAGCCCCGGGCUCAACCUGGGAAUUGCGCUUAAGACUGGAAGACUAGAAAACGGAAGAGGGUAGUGGAAUUCCCAGUGUAGAGGUGA